GACGCGCACACUGGCCACUCUGACGAUGCCGAAAGCCCUCCAUGUCUACCCGCUACGCCGCAUUCGCAGACAGGCGGGGGACAUCGCGGCCGCGGCAAGCUAGAGAUGCCGCCUGCUCGAGCAACCUUCCACCUGCAGGGCCGGCCAGUUCUACUCUUCCAGGAUCACUCUCGUCUCACCCUUCUCCCCAAAAUGUCAGAGCAAGAACCAGGAAGGGAGAGGCUCUUUCUGGAAGCCACAGGCAUAACGUUACUGAACAACGAGGACAAAGUAGGGUCCCAUUUAAACUGAGAGUCAGCGAGGGAAAGAACAGAUCCUAUACAUACCAAGCAUCUGCUAUGUGCUAGUCACUUCACACACACACACACCCCACACACACCUCACACACACACCACACACAUCCCACCCACCCACUCACAUACAUACACACCACACACAUACAUACACACCACACACACACAUACACCACACACACACAUCACACAUACUCCCCCACCCCCGCACACACAUACACCACAGACAUACACACGAGCCUGCAAUGAUGGAAGCAAAACAGAACGUUUGGAGAUAUUCACUGCCGUUUACAAGGCCACAGUAAGCAGUAAGCAGAUUUUCUACUCCCCUCUAGCAGAGAACAUGGUAGGAAAAGCUAGACAUUGUAGACAGCAGUAAGAACCUAACAGUCAACAGUGGACAAUGGAUUCUGAAACUGAGAUCCUAUACUGCAUUCACACACGUUAAGGGGCAGGGCGCUGGGAAAACCCCAUCUCAGUCUGGGGUUCAAAGAGUGGAAAAGCUACCCUAGUCCAACUGCUCGGAGGCCAGGUCAGGCCCCUGAAGGUCACUGGAGGAGGAGGCUGGAAAAAGUGCAGAUAUGCACUCCAAAAGGAGAGGUUCCACGGUGGUCAUGACCACAAAAUUCCAAUAUGUUUAAGUCGAUCAAACAAAAGCAGAGUUAAGGCUGGUUCUGAAAGCAGCCAAGAGCAGUUUUCAACACAACACAAAGGGUAACACAAGGCUUUCUUUUCUCACAGUCCGGGCUGACCACAUAUGGCCUGGCUACUGCAAGAAACAUUGAAGGUGUUAGCGCUUUUGACUCUAACUGCGCACCCCUCAGAGAAGAUGUCACAUAGUGAACAUCGCAAGGCACAGAAUGGGAAAUGGAAGCACAGAAUCAAACCCUGAGAUUCGGGGAGAAACCAAAGUGUGGAGAAAUUAUGUAACUUAUCCAAAGUCCAGAGCAGGUUACUGACUGGGAGAACUUGGCUUUCCUUCCAGACUCCAGAUAUGAGACUUUUCUGCGGUCUGACACAGUGGCUUCUUCCACCUCUGCAGUCAACCCCACAAAGGUGGCUCGAGUGUUCCUCUGCCUCCCUGCCCAGCAGCUCCCAGCCUGGAUGGUGAACUCCUUUGCCUGAACAUCCCACGCACCCUGCCAUCUCCUGGGCUAGAACAACAGGUUGUGCAGGACAGAGGGCUUCCCUGCCACACUCCCCUCUAUUACAAAAUGCCAGAGGUCCCAGUUCGAAGCAGCUGUUCCUGGAUGUGGGAAGAGCAAGAGAGAAAUGAUCUAAUGAUGGACAAGGAAUCUUGAAAAGCCAGACCUUCACUGAAUGGCUGACAGGACACACAUUUUGCUUUACUAGAACAAGAACAGAAUCUUUGAAAAGGCAUAAAAGCCAGUGGUCAAGAAGUAACUGACAGCAAAGGCAAAAGAGAUGAAGGCUAAGCUGGAAAGUGGAGAUGAAGCCUGAUGAUAUACUCAGUGGAAGCCCAGAAAGUCUCAGGAAUGAGAACUACCAUUCACCUCUGGAAAUGGGAAACGUAGAGUCCAAAACAAGAAGAUUAAUCGGAAGUGUCAGGAAUAGCUGGGCCCCAUUUCAUCCCGGGUCCUCUCCCCAGCUCCAUCAGCUAGGUGACUUCUUUUCUGGAAGCAGGGACACAGGUCUCUGGACCAGGAUCAGCAGACACAGCCAUGCCUUUAGUCCCAGAAAGAUUUGGUGGAUCACAUGCUAGCUGCCAUAUGAAUCCCACCACCAUCCCCAGCAGCUCCUGGAGCAGCACCUCCAACAGAACUGAAAGAGGCUCCUGCAGAGCUGAGAAGAGACCCAAAAGCAUGAGCCCCACAACAAGCAACCAGGCGUCCAUCCACAGAGGCCACAGUUAAAUGCUCACUCACACAGGGCUCCUGUCAGCUUCUGAGCAAUGUCCUUUUGAAAGUGGGAAGACCCCAGACAGCUAAGCGAAGCCUCUAAGGUGAAAGAUGUGGCCAAAUUGCAUGGGACAAACACUUCCUAUGCCUCACCUCCCUGGGCCCUGUCCACAGCUCUAUUGAGCCGCAUCUGAUGGGACCCCUAUGUCCUGCAGCACAGCCUCCUCCUACCAGGGCUCUGAAGAGCCUGUACACCCAGCACCUGCAGGGAUGUAGCCCAGAUGCAACCCUGGCCCAUGGUGACGGGCACUGACAGGAGAUACAUCCUCCACCCCAACCCCUUCCCAGCACUGUCUGGAGGACUGGGAGCUCGUGACACAAGCCAGCCCCACAUGUGGAACCAUUGGCUUCACUCAAUUCUAGGCACUGCCCACCGCGGGCACCCCGCCUCACCCUGCACCCAGGUUCCCUCCUUCCAGCCUCCCUCCACCAGGCUGGCACACCCUCCUACAAUAGAAGCACAGAAGGCUUUGCCAUAGGCUCUGCUUUCCGGGUAAGCUGGACACAAACAAACAGAAAAAUUAAAAGUAAAUCAUUUACAAAUGGGAGAGAAGAAACGAUACACAAAAAGUUUUUAAAAAUUAAUAUCUACAAAUGAGAUAGACGUAUCUAUGAAAUAAGAAUAUUAUGCCAUUAAAAAAAGAAUACUCAC
This 2864-nucleotide long non-coding RNA is filed under the name Homo sapiens (human). Its description in RNAcentral is "non-protein coding lnc-IKZF1-9:1". Lineage: Eukaryota; Metazoa; Chordata; Mammalia; Primates; Hominidae. The record is from RNAcentral.